This 253-nucleotide ribosomal RNA is filed under the name uncultured bacterium. Its description in RNAcentral is "partial 16S ribosomal RNA". It matches the Rfam family "Bacterial small subunit ribosomal RNA", at positions 524 to 776 of the family's 1533-position model. The record is from RNAcentral.
UACGAAGGGUGCAAGCGUUACUCGGAAUUAUUGGGCGUAAAGCGCACGUAGGCGGACCAUCAAGUCGGAUGUGAAAUCCCUCGGCUCAACCGUGGAAGUGCAUUCGAAACUGCAGGGCUAGAGUCCUGGAGAGGAAGGUGGAAUGCUUGGUGUAGAGGUGAAAUUCGUAGAUAUCAAGCGGAACACCGGUGGCGAAGGCGGCCUUCUGGACAGUGACUGACGCUGAGACGCGAAAGCGUGGGGAGCAAACAGG